CAGAAGAUAGUUUAUAAAAAAAUUUUAGUUUUGGGAAUUAAAGAAAAUAUAUAUGUAUUUCUUCUGA
RNAcentral lists this transfer RNA (67 nucleotides) under Emerita talpoida. Its description in RNAcentral is "tRNA-Pro". Lineage: Eukaryota; Metazoa; Arthropoda; Malacostraca; Decapoda; Hippidae. The record is from RNAcentral.